This 837-nucleotide ribosomal RNA is filed under the name uncultured bacterium. Its description in RNAcentral is "bacterial SSU rRNA". It matches the Rfam family "Bacterial small subunit ribosomal RNA", at positions 525 to 1381 of the family's 1533-position model. The record is from RNAcentral.
ACGAGGGAUGCAAGCGUUAUCCGGAAUUAUUGGGCGUAAAGCGUUUGUAGGCGGGCGAGUGUGUUUAAUGUUAAAUCUUAAAGCUCAACUUUGAAAUUGCGUUAAAAACUGCUUGUCUUGAGUAUGGUAGGGGUAAAGGGAAUUCCCAGUGUAGCGGUGAAAUGCGUAGAUAUUGGGAAGAACACUAAACAGCGAAGGCACUUUACUAGGCUAAUACUGACGCUGAGAAACGAAAGGUAAGGUAGCGAAACGGAUUAGAUACCCGUGUAGUCUUACCCGUAAACUAUGGACACUAAACGGUAAAUUUUUAAUUUACUGUUAAAGCUAACGCGUUAAGUGUCCCGCCUGGGGAGUAUGCUUGCAAAAGUGAAACUCAAAGGAAUUGACGGGGGCCCGCACAAGCGGUGGAGCAUGUGGUUUAAUUCGACGGUACACGAAGAACCUUACCAGGAUUUGACAUGCUAGAUAGUUGCUUGAAAGAGUAACGUGCCGUAAGGAAUCUAGACACAGGUGGUGCAUGGCUGUCGUCAGUUCGUGUUGUGAAAUGUUGGGUUAAGUCCCGCAACGAACGCAACCCUUGUCUUUAGUUAUUUUCUAAAGAGACUGCCUGUAAUAAACAGGAGGAAGGUAAGGAUGAGGUCAAGUCAUCAUGCCCCUUAUGUCCUGGGCUACACACGUGCUACAAUGGGAAAGACAAUGAGCUGCAAAUCUGUAAAUUUAAGCAAAUCUCUUAGACUUUCUCGUAGUUCGGAUUGUGGGCUGCAACUCGCCCACAUGAAGUUGGAAUCGCUAGUAAUCGCCAGUCAGCUAUAUGGCGGUGAAUCCGUUCCCGGGCCU